RNAcentral lists this ribosomal RNA (441 nucleotides) under uncultured bacterium. RNAcentral describes it as "bacterial SSU rRNA". It matches the Rfam family "Bacterial small subunit ribosomal RNA", at positions 338 to 795 of the family's 1533-position model. The record is from RNAcentral.
CCUACGGGGGGCAGCAGUGGGGAAUAUUGCACAAUGGGGGAAACCCUGAUGCAGCAACGCCGCGUGAGCGAAGAAGGCCUUCGGGUCGUAAAGCUCUGUCCUAAGGGAAGAAAAUUGACGGUACCUUAGGAGGAAGCCCCGGCUAACUACGUGCCAGCAGCCGCGGUAAUACGUAGGGGGCAAGCGGUAUCCGGAAUCACUGGGCGUAAAGGGUGCGUAGGCGGCUAAGUAAGCCAGGGGUGAAAGGCUACGGCUCAACCCCGGGACUGCAUUUGAAACUGUCUUACUAGAGUGCAGGAGAGGAAAGCGGAAUUCCUAGUGUAGCGGUGAAAUGCGUAGAUAUUAGGAAGAACACCAGUGGCGAAGGCGGCUUUCUGGACUGUAACUGACGCUGAGGCACGAAAGCGUGGGGAGCGAACAGGAUUAGAUACCCCAGUAGUC